RNAcentral lists this transfer RNA (71 nucleotides) under Aspergillus luchuensis IFO 4308. RNAcentral's name for it is "tRNA-Ala (TGC) (tRNA-Ala-TGC-5-1)". It matches the Rfam family "tRNA". From Rfam's summary of the family: Transfer RNA (tRNA) molecules are approximately 80 nucleotides in length. Their secondary structure includes four short double-helical elements and three loops (D, anti-codon, and T loops). Lineage: Eukaryota; Fungi; Ascomycota; Eurotiomycetes; Eurotiales; Aspergillaceae. The record is from RNAcentral.
GCCCCUGUGGCGCAAUCGGUAGCGCGUAAGACUUGCAAUCUUAAGGCUGUGGGUGAUCCCCACCAGGGGCU